Molecule: long non-coding RNA, 2202 nt
Organism: Helianthus annuus (common sunflower)
Lineage: Eukaryota; Viridiplantae; Streptophyta; Magnoliopsida; Asterales; Asteraceae
Exons: 12
Source: RefSeq, a predicted model, not a curated record
UCUCUUCCCUCUCUCUCAAAACCCUAGAUCAAACGAGUGCAAGUUCCGUUCUUCAUUCUCAUAUUCAUCAACCGCCACUCUUCUUCCCACAUUCGACGGCACCACAUCUACCUUCUGAUGAUUAUUUUCAAGUAGAUUAAUCCAUUUCUUAUUUGUUCCUCAUUCAAUUAGACUUCAUUUGUUCGCAACCUUCUGUCAGUCUGGGUUUUAGAUCACUCACCGGUGCCGAAAUUGCAGAAAUCGGAGGAAUCGGAGAGUUUUGAGCCCUGGGAUACUCCUUGAAUGCAAAAUUCUGACAGUUUCGGAUGCCCAGCAGCGUCUCAAGAGUUUUAGAGAGAAGUUGACACCCAAGGAGUAUCUCGAGUUUCUUGAUAUCAUGAAGGACUUCAGGGAGGGCAGGCUUGACAUGUUGGGAGUCAGAGAAAAUGUUAUAAAACUAUGCGAAACUCAUCAAGUAAUGUUUCCGCUUUUCAACAUCUAUCUUCCAGAGAGAGAAAAAAUCACAUUCCCACAAGCGCAGAUGAUGUUAAAAAGGCACCCAAGUUUGACAUUGGUAAACUGAUGGAGGCUAAGCACGAAUUGAUAAAAGUUCCGGCAUCUCAAGUGAAAUUAAUGUCUCCCAUUUGAUGAGAAGAUAAUACAUAGACCACACCGACAUGAAUGUUCCUGAAGGGAUAGCUAAGCUUCCUAAUCUUGAAUCACUUCUUAUUUGGGAUAACUUCUUUAGUGGCACACUGCCACAAGAAUUGGCUAGAAAAUGCCCUGAAGCAGGCCUGAGAGUUCGAAAGCUCGCCAUUCAGGGCGCAAUGCAAAUGCGUUGGGCUGCGUCUGGGCGCCUAGACACGCACCUAGGGGGCUUUUGACAGAUUAUCUGUACAAUGUAGUCAUUACUGUUGAAUGCGUUGGAUCCAAAGGAGAAAGCCAUGUCAUAGACUGGAUAUUGGUUGAACAAUACGUUAUUGGAAGACUCGGGCUGCCUUUAUACUGGACCAGCGGUAACAACUCAGUUUUAUAUGACCAUGAUUUGGAGAGACUAAUAAAGUGAGGGACGAAGUCACCGAGGACAUGUCUAUAUGACAAGCAAUAUCAAUUGUGUUUGAAAGAAAUCCAAAACUAAGGAAUAUUUAUAAAUAAUCUCAUUUCUAUCGUAUGACGCUACAAAGGCUGCAUUUUUUUUUGUACUUAUAGGUUGGAGGGGCUUCCUUACAAGGUGUUACAGUGGUGUACUUGUGUAGAAUGGAAGGUUGGUUUGCUGCAGAUGCUAAAACCAUCUCGUGUUGGCUUAUUUGGAAAGAGGUAUUCUGAGGAAGUUUGGAAGAUCUCAAUAGCAGGCUUAUGUCAUGACAAAAAAGGGAAAAAAACUAGAGGGCUCCUCCAAAUCAAACACGGUUGCCAGAAAGGGAUAGAUGGGCGUCGGAACUGGACGGGUCAGGUCAGUUUCCAGUGGGCUCUUGUAGGAGAUUAAUGACAGAGUAUGCAGUACCGUAUUUUCCUUUUCAAAGAGUAAAAUGGGUUCCAAAAAAGAUAAAAUUUAUCUGGGUGGCGUGUAGAACAAGAGUGUUUACCUACUUUGGUUGGUCUACAUAAAAGAAGAAUCCAUAGCGGCUCCACAUUGUGCACGUUUUGUAAUGGCGGAGAUGAAAUGCAACACACGUAUUCGCAUCCUGCUACGUUGCAGCUGUAGUAUGGAACAAAAUUAUUAGUGAGUGGUGUAAUAUACCGCCGGUCUUCGCCUUCUCUUUCAAAGAUCUACCAAGUGUCCGCAAGGUUCCAGGCUACACUCGAAUGAAGAAAAAGGCAGUACAUGUUGUGGUGCUGACAAUAUGCUUGAUAAUAUUGAAGUGUCAGAAUGAUCUCAUACUUUCGAGCAAGCGGGUUCACAUUGAAAGGCUGUUAGGUGAAGUACAACCCACCUCUUUCUUGUGGAUAAUACACCAGGCGGAACAACAUCAUAUGUAGUGGGAAAAAUGGGUGACUUUUGAUUUCCAAAUUUUAGUUUGGGACCCAGACUUAUACUAUCUGGUGGUGCAACGACUAUUGGGGGCAAUUCUGCUAACGCCGGGACUCCUAUCUCGCCAGGAGGUGCUGGAUUUCGUAUGUUUUUGGCUCUGUUUUUUUUUAACUAGACCUUGAUGUUAUUGUUUGUUUUGUCAACAGAGUAGAAGAGUAGAAGAGUAAAAUUGCAUAGCAAUGAAAAGUUUA